Molecule: ribosomal RNA, 292 nt
Filed under: uncultured bacterium
Lineage: Bacteria
Description: partial 16S ribosomal RNA
Rfam family: Bacterial small subunit ribosomal RNA
Source: RNAcentral
GUGUCAGCAGCCGCGGUAAUACGGAGGAUCCAAGCGUUGUCCGGAUUUAUUGGGUUUAAAGGGUGCGUAGGUGGAUAAUUAAGUCAGGGGUGAAAGCCUGCAGCUCAACUGUAGAACUGCCCUUGAAACUGAUUAUCUUGAGUGCGGUUGAGGUAGGCGGAAUGUGUCAUGUAGCGGUGAAAUGCUUAGAUAUGAUACAGAACACCGAUUGCGAAGGCAGCUUACUAAACCGUAACUGACACUGAGGCACGAAAGCAUGGGGAGCAAACAGGAUUAGAUACCCUGGUAGUCC